RNAcentral lists this ribosomal RNA (306 nucleotides) under uncultured bacterium. RNAcentral's name for it is "bacterial SSU rRNA". It matches the Rfam family "Bacterial small subunit ribosomal RNA", at positions 21 to 358 of the family's 1533-position model. The record is from RNAcentral.
GGCUCAGAACGAACGCUGGCGGCGUGCUUAACACAUGCAAGUCGAACGCACCUUCGGGUUAGUGGCGGACGGGUGAGUAACGCGUGAGAAUCUGCCCUCAGGAGGGGGAUAACGGUUGGAAACGACCGCUAAUACCCCAUAUGCCGAGAGGUGAAAAGAAAUUCGCCUGAGGAUGAGCUCGCGUCUGAUUAGCUAGUUGGUGUGGUAAUGGCGCACCAAGGCUUCGAUCAGUAGCUGGUCUGAGAGGAUGAUCAGCCACACUGGGACUGAGACACGGCCCAGACUCCUACGGGCUGCAGCAGUGGG